RNAcentral lists this transfer RNA (75 nucleotides) under Methylorubrum extorquens. RNAcentral's name for it is "tRNA-Val(cac)". It matches the Rfam family "tRNA". From Rfam's summary of the family: Transfer RNA (tRNA) molecules are approximately 80 nucleotides in length. Their secondary structure includes four short double-helical elements and three loops (D, anti-codon, and T loops). RNAcentral also lists the same sequence under 124 other names. The record is from RNAcentral. Lineage: Bacteria; Pseudomonadati; Pseudomonadota; Alphaproteobacteria; Hyphomicrobiales; Methylobacteriaceae.
GGGUGCGUAGCUCAGCGGGAGAGCAUUCGCUUCACACGCGAAGGGUCACAGGUUCGAUCCCUGUCGCGCCCACCA